AUGGAGAGGAGCCCGGGAACUGUGCUGGGGCUGCUGUUGGUGCCGCUAUGCUCAGGGGUAAGAGGAAUGCCGGUGGAACAGAAUCCUCCAGCCCUGAGUCUUUAUGAAGGAGCUGAGUCUGGUCUGAGAUGCAAUUUUUCUACCACCAUGAAAGGUGUCCAGUGGUUUCAACAAAAUCACAGAGGCAGACUUAUCACUCUGUUUUACCUGGCUCAAGGAACAAAGGAGAAUGGAAGGUUAAAGUCAACAUUCAAUUCUAAGGAGCGCUACAGCACCCUGCACAUCAAGGAUGCACAGCUGGAGGACUCAGGCACUUACUUCUGUGCUGUUGAGG
This is a non-coding RNA of Mus musculus (house mouse), 334 nucleotides long. NCBI's taxonomy places the organism in Eukaryota, Metazoa, Chordata, Mammalia, Rodentia, Muridae. The record is from the annotation of a RefSeq genome assembly.